Molecule: ribosomal RNA, 119 nt
Organism: Cebus imitator (Panamanian white-faced capuchin)
Lineage: Eukaryota; Metazoa; Chordata; Mammalia; Primates; Cebidae
Source: Ensembl
GUCUAUGGCCAUAUUGCCCUGAAUGUGCCUGAUCUCAUCUGAUCUCAGAAGCUAAGCAGGGUCGGUCUUGGUUAGUACUUGGAUGGGAGACCGCCUGGGAAUACCGUGUGCUGUAGGCU